This 427-nucleotide ribosomal RNA is filed under the name uncultured bacterium. RNAcentral's name for it is "partial 16S ribosomal RNA". It matches the Rfam family "Bacterial small subunit ribosomal RNA", at positions 354 to 796 of the family's 1533-position model. The record is from RNAcentral.
GUGAGGAAUAUUGCACAAUGGGCGAAAGCCUGAUGCAGCAACGCCGCGUGAGUGAUGAAGGCCUUUGGGUCGUAAAACUCUGUCCUUGGGGAAGAAAAAAAUGACGGUACCCUUGGAGGAAGCCCCGGCUAACUACGUGCCAGCAGCCGCGGUAAUACGUAGGGGGCAAGCGUUAUCCGGAAUUAUUGGGCGUAAAGAGUGCGUAGGUGGUUUUGUAAGCGUAGGGUGAAAGGCAGUAGCUCAACUAUUGUUAGCCCUGCGAACUGUGAGACUUGGGUGCAGGAGAGGAAAGGGGAAUUCCUAGUGUAGCGGUGAAAUGCGUAGAGAUUAGGAGGAACCCCGGUGGCGAAGGCGACUUUCUGGACUGUAACUGACACUGAGGCACAAAAGCGUGGGUAGCAAACAGGAUUAGAAACCCCGGUAGUCC